Molecule: ribosomal RNA, 226 nt
Filed under: uncultured bacterium
Lineage: Bacteria
Description: partial 16S ribosomal RNA
Rfam family: Bacterial small subunit ribosomal RNA
Source: RNAcentral
GCGUUGUCCGGCAUCAUUGGGCGUAAAGAGCGUGUAGGCGGCCCGAUAAGUCCGCUGUGCAAGUCCAAGGCUCAACCUUGGAAUGCCGGUGGAUACUGUCGGGCUCGAGUCCGGAAGAGGUGAGUGGAAUUCCUGGUGUAGCGGUGAAAUGCGCAGAUAUCAAGAGGAACACCAAUGGCGAAGGCAGCUCACUGGGACGGUACUGACGCUGAGGCGCGAAAGCGUG